This 1075-nucleotide ribosomal RNA is filed under the name Candidatus Heimdallarchaeota archaeon. RNAcentral's name for it is "bacterial SSU rRNA". It matches the Rfam family "Bacterial small subunit ribosomal RNA", at positions 1 to 1116 of the family's 1533-position model. Lineage: Archaea; Promethearchaeati; Candidatus Heimdallarchaeota. The record is from RNAcentral.
UAAGAGUUUGAUCCUAGCCCAGAACGAACGCUGGCGGCAGGCCUAACACAUGCAAGUCGAACGGAAUAAUUAAGCUUGCUUAUUUAUUUAGUGGCAGACGGGUGAGUAAUACAUGGGAAUCUACCUUUUAGCACGGAAUAGUUAGUAGAAAUAUUAAGUAAUACUGUAUAAUCCCCGAGGGGCAAAGAUUUAUCACUAUUAGAUGAGCCCAUGGCGGAUUAGCUUGUUGGUGAGGUAACUGCUCACCAAGGCUAUGAUCCGUAGCUGGUUUGAGAGAAUGUACAGCCACACUGGUAUUGAGAUACGGACCAGACUUCUAUGGAAGGCAGCAGUGGGGAAUAUUGGACAAUGGGCGAAAGCCUGAUCCAGCCAUGCCGCGUGAGUGAUGAAGGCCGCGAGGUUGUAAAGCUCUUUUAGCGAUGAAGAUUAUGACGGUAAUCGCAGAAUAAGUCCCGGCUAACUACGUGCCAGCAGCCGCGGUAAUACGUAGGGGGCUAGCGUUGUUCGGAAUUACUGGGCGUAAAGGGUGUGUAGACGGUGAUAUAAGUCCGGUGUUAAAACUAUGAGCUUAACUCAUAAGAUGCGCUGCGAAACUGUAUUACUUGAGUACGGAAGAGGAUAGUGGAAUUCCUAGUGUAGAGGUAAAAUUCGUAGAUAUUAGGAGGAACAUCAGAGGCGAAGGCGACUAUCUGGUACGUUACUGACGUUGAGACACGAAAGCGUAGGUAGCAAACAGGAUUAGAUACCCUGGUAGUCUACGCUGUAAACGCUGAAUGCUAUGCAUAGGGAUUUUGAUCCCUGUGUUGAAGCUAACGCAUUAAGCAUUCCGCCUGAGGAAUACGGUCGCAAGAUUAAAACUCAAAGGAAUUGACGGGGACCUGCACAAGCGGUGGAGCAUGUGGUUUAAUUCGAUGCAACGCGAAAAACCUUACCAAACCUUGACAUAUUCAUCGUAUCUCUCCGAAGGGAGGAGUCAGUUCGGCUGGAUAUUUACAGGUGUUGCAUGGCUGUCGUCAGCUCGUGCCGUGAGGUGUUAGGUUAAGUCCUCUAACGAGCGCAACCCCCAUCCUUAAUU